UGCAGUCGCACGAGAACGGGUCUAAGCUUGCUUAGAUUGUCAGCUAAGUGGCGCACGGGUGAGUAAUAUAUAGGUAACAUGCCUUCGAGAAGGGGAUAACGUUUGGAAACGAACGCUAAUACCCUAUAUGCCUUUAAGUCUUAAGACUGCAAGGGAAAUAUUUAUAGCUCGAAGAUUGGCCUGUACAGUAUCAGCUAGUUGGUGAGGUAAUGGCUCACCAAGGCAAUGACGCUUAACUGGUUUGAGAGGAUGAUCAGUCACACUGGAACUGAGACACGGUCCAGACUCCUACGGGAGGCAGCAGUGGGGAAUAUUGCACAAUGGACGAAAGUCUGAUGCAGCAACGCCGCGUGGAGGAUGACACACUUCGGUGCGUAAACUCCUUUUAUAUAGGAAGAUAAUGACGGUACUAUAUGAAUAAGCACCGGCUAUCUCCGUGCCAGCAGCCGCGGUAAUACGGAGGGUGCAAGCGUUACUCGGAAUCACUGGGCGUAAAGAGAAUGUAGGCGGGUAGAUAAGUUUGAAGUGAAAUCCAAUGGCUCAACCAUUGAACUGCUUUGAAAACUGUUUACCUAGAAUAUGGGAGAGGUAGAUGGAAUUUCUGGUGUAGGGGUAAAAUCCGUAGAGAUCAGAAGGAAUACCGAUUGCGAAGGCGAUCUACUGGAACAUUAUUGACGCUGAGAUUCGAAAGCGUG
Molecule: ribosomal RNA, 695 nt
Filed under: uncultured Arcobacter sp.
Lineage: Bacteria; Pseudomonadati; Campylobacterota; Epsilonproteobacteria; Campylobacterales; Arcobacteraceae
Description: bacterial SSU rRNA
Rfam family: Bacterial small subunit ribosomal RNA
Source: RNAcentral